CCUUUGGGCGUGCCCUAUACAUGCAAGUCGAGCGAACGGAUAAGGAGCUUGCUCCUUUGAAGUUAGCGGCGGACGGGUGAGUAACACGUGGGUAACCUACCUAUAAGACUGGAAUAACUUCGGGAAACCGGAGCUAAUGCCGGAUAACAUAUAGAACCGCAUGGUUCUAUAGUGAAAGAUGGUUUUGCUAUCACUUAUAGAUGGACCCGCGCCGUAUUAGCUAGUUGGUAAGGUAAUGGCUUACCAAGGCGACGAUACGUAGCCGACCUGAGAGGGUGAUCGGCCACACUGGAACUGAGACACGGUCCAGACUCCUACGGGAGGCAGCAGUAGGGAAUCUUCCGCAAUGGGCGAAAGCCUGACGGAGCAACGCCGCGUGAGUGAUGAAGGUUUUCGGAUCGUAAAACUCUGUUAUUAGGGAAGAACAAAUGCGUAAGUAACUGUGCGCAUCUUGACGGUACCUAAUCAGAAAGCCACGGCUAACUACGUGCCAGCAGCCGCGGUAAUACGUAGGUGGCAAGCGUUAUCCGGAAUUAUUGGGCGUAAAGCGCGCGUAGGCGGUUUCUUAAGUCUGAUGUGAAAGCCCACGGCUCAACCGUGGAGGGUCAUUGGAAACUGGGAAACUUGAGUGCAGAAGAGGAAAGUGGAAUUCCAUGUGUAGCGGUGAAAUGCGCAGAGAUAUGGAGGAACACCAGUGGCGAAGGCGACUUUCUGGUCUGUAACUGACGCUGAUGUGCGAAAGCGUGGGGAUCAAACAGGAUUAGAUACCCUGGUAGUCCACGCCGUAAACGAUGAGUGCU
This 800-nucleotide ribosomal RNA is filed under the name Staphylococcus succinus. RNAcentral's name for it is "bacterial SSU rRNA". It matches the Rfam family "Bacterial small subunit ribosomal RNA", at positions 34 to 817 of the family's 1533-position model. The record is from RNAcentral. Lineage: Bacteria; Bacillati; Bacillota; Bacilli; Caryophanales; Staphylococcaceae.